RNAcentral lists this long non-coding RNA (204 nucleotides) under Elaeis guineensis (African oil palm). RNAcentral's name for it is "long non-coding RNA (EGUI_LNC030592)". Lineage: Eukaryota; Viridiplantae; Streptophyta; Magnoliopsida; Arecales; Arecaceae. The record is from RNAcentral.
ACUAGAACUUGAAAACAAAGUCUAAAUCAACUAAGUAAUUCCACUUUAAGGGCAUAAUUUGUCAAAGAAAAUUCUUUCAAAAAGUGAGAAUUUGUCAUUGCAUUGAUUUGGAUCCCAGUUAUUCUAUCAUCACUUCCAUUUAGAGUCUUUUGAUGGUAACUUGGGUGCUGUCAUAUCCCAUAACUUUUUGAAUGGAUCUGGCUU